This 305-nucleotide ribosomal RNA is filed under the name uncultured bacterium. RNAcentral describes it as "bacterial SSU rRNA". It matches the Rfam family "Bacterial small subunit ribosomal RNA", at positions 28 to 334 of the family's 1533-position model. The record is from RNAcentral.
GAUGAACGCUAGCGGCAGGCUUAACACAUGCAAGUCGAGGGGUAACAGGGUGCUUGCACCGCUGACGACCGGCGCACGGGUGCGUAACGCGUAUACAAUCUGCCUUGUACUAGGGGAUAGCCUUUGGAAACGAAGAUUAAUACCCUAUAGUAAGUAGAUACGGCAUCGUAUUUAUUUUAAAGGUUACGGUACAAGAUGAGUAUGCGUCCUAUUAGUUAGUUGGUAAGGUAACGGCUUACCAAGACAGCGAUAGGUAGGGGCCCUGAGAGGGGGAUCCCCCACACUGGUACUGAGACACGGACCAG